UACGGAGGGAGCUAGCGUUUGUUCGGAAUUACUGGGCGUAAAGCGCACGUAGGCGGCUACUCAAGUCAGAGGUGAAAGCCCAGGGCUCAACCUUGGAACUGCCUUUGAAACUAGGUAGCUAGAAUUCUGGAGAGGUCAGUGGAAUUCCGAGUGUAGAGGUGAAAUUCGUAGAUAUUCGGUAAGAACACCAGUGGCGAAGGCGACUGACUGGACAGAUAUUGACGCUGAGGUGCGAAAGCGUGGGGAGCAAACAGG
Molecule: ribosomal RNA, 255 nt
Filed under: uncultured bacterium
Lineage: Bacteria
Description: partial 16S ribosomal RNA
Rfam family: Bacterial small subunit ribosomal RNA
Source: RNAcentral